Molecule: ribosomal RNA, 419 nt
Filed under: bacterium
Lineage: Bacteria
Description: partial 16S ribosomal RNA
Rfam family: Bacterial small subunit ribosomal RNA
Source: RNAcentral
UGGGGGAUAUUGCACAAUGGGCGAAAGCCUGAUGCAGCGACGCCGCGUGGGGGAUGAAGGCCUUCGGGUUGUAAACUUCUUUUGCUCUGAACAAGGCAUGCUAAUGGGUGUGUUGAGUGUAGGGGUUGAUUAGCGCCGGCUAACUACGUGCCAGCAGCCGCGGUAAUACGUAGGGCGCGAGCGUUGUCCGGAAUUAUUGGGCGUAAAGGGCUUGUAGGUGGCUGGUUGCGUCAGUCGUGAAAGCUCAUGGCUUAACUGUGGGUUUGCGGUGGGUACGGGCUGGCUUGAGUGCAGUAGGGGAGGCUGGAAUUCCUGGUGUAGCGGUGGAAUGCGCAGAUAUCAGGAGGAAUACCGGUGGCGAAGGCGGGUCUCUGGGCUGUUACUGACACUGAGGAGCGAAAGCAUGGGGAGCGAACAGG